This 292-nucleotide ribosomal RNA is filed under the name uncultured bacterium. Its description in RNAcentral is "partial 16S ribosomal RNA". It matches the Rfam family "Archaeal small subunit ribosomal RNA", at positions 455 to 747 of the family's 1478-position model. The record is from RNAcentral.
GUGUCAGCAGCCGCGGUAAUACCAGCACCCCGAGUGGUCGGGACGAUUAUUGGGCCUAAAGCAUCCGUAGCCGGUACUGCAAGUCUUCCGUUAAAUCCACCUGCUCAACAGUUGGGCUGCGGAGGAUACUACAGCGCUAGGAGGCGGGAGAGGCAAGCGGUACUCAGUGGGUAGGGGUAAAAUCCAUUGAUCCAUUGAAGACCACCAGUGGCGAAGGCGGCUUGCCAGAACGCGCUCGACGGUGAGGGAUGAAAGCUGGGGGAGCAAACCGGAUUAGAAACCCCCGUAGUCC